CGACGAAAACCUUACCCACCUUUGACAUGGCAGGAACUUACCAGAGAUGGUUUGGUGCUCGAAAGAGAACCUGCACACAGGUGCUGCAUGGCUGUCGUCAGCUCGUGUCGUGAGAUGUUGGGUUAAGUCCCGCAACGAGCGCAACCCUUGCCAUUAGUUGCUACGAAAGGGCACUCUAAUGGGACUGCCGGUGACAAACCGGAGGAAGGUGGGGAUGACGUCAAGUCCUCAUGGCCCUUAUAGGUGGGGCUACACACGUCAUACAAUGGCUGGUACAAAGGGUCGCCAACCCGCGAGGGGGAGCCAAUCCCAUAAAGCCAGUCGUAGUCCGGAUCGCAGUCUGCAACUCGACUGCGUGAAGUCGGAAUCGCUAGUAAUCGUGGAUCAGAAUGUCACGGUGAAUACGUUCCCGGGUCUUGUACACACCGCCCGUCACACCAUGGGAGCGGGUCUCGCCAGAAGUAGGUAGCCUAACCGCAAGGAGGGCGCUUACCACGGCGGGGUUCGUGACUGGGGUGAAGUCGUAACAAGGUAAGCGUAGUGCU
Molecule: ribosomal RNA, 545 nt
Filed under: uncultured bacterium
Lineage: Bacteria
Description: bacterial SSU rRNA
Rfam family: Bacterial small subunit ribosomal RNA
Source: RNAcentral